UUAAAUGUGAUGAUGAAGAGAGCCAGGGUGUAGAUUCCACAGAGAUCCGGUGUACGCUGAGAGCCGGAGAAUUGAACCCGUACGGCGAGUCGCUUCUGAACAGGCAUUCUGAAAUGCAAAGAGUAGGAGUGCACGUGUAGCCGCGUUAAGGUGAUGGGUUUGUAUGAACCCUUAGAGUGCGUAUUUUAUAUACGAAUUUGGGUGGUACCGCGGGAAUUAACGCCCGUCCCUUAA
Molecule: non-coding RNA, 234 nt
Filed under: [Clostridium] cellulosi
Lineage: Bacteria; Bacillati; Bacillota; Clostridia; Eubacteriales; Oscillospiraceae
Description: Clostridium cellulosi T-box sequence
Rfam family: T-box leader
About the family: Uncharged tRNA acts as the effector for transcription antitermination of genes in the T-box leader family. T-boxes are found upstream of many aminoacyl-tRNA synthetase genes and some amino acid biosynthetic genes usually in Gram-positive bacteria.
Source: RNAcentral